Molecule: ribosomal RNA, 389 nt
Filed under: uncultured bacterium
Lineage: Bacteria
Description: bacterial SSU rRNA
Rfam family: Bacterial small subunit ribosomal RNA
Source: RNAcentral
GAUGAACGCUAGCGGCAGGCCUAACACAUGCAAGUCGAGGGGCAGCACGUCUUCGGAUGGUGGCGACCGGCGCACGGGUGCGUAACGCGUAUGCAACCUACCUCUUACAGUGGGAUAGCCCAGAGAAAUUUGGAUUAAUACCGCAUAGUAUACAGAUUCAGCAUUGGGACUGUAUUAAACAUUUANGGGUAAGAGAUGGGCAUGCGUUCUAUUAGUUAGUUGGAGUGGUAACGGCACCCCAAGACAGCGAUAGAUAGGGGCCCUGAGAGGGGGAUCCCCCACACUGGUACUGAGACACGGACCAGACUCCUACGGGAGGCAGCAGUGAGGAAUAUUGGACAAUGGGCGAGAGCCUGAUCCAGCCAUGCCGCGUGCAGGAAGACGGCCCU